Molecule: small nucleolar RNA, 272 nt
Filed under: Calypte anna (Anna's hummingbird)
Lineage: Eukaryota; Metazoa; Chordata; Aves; Apodiformes; Trochilidae
Description: Small Cajal body specific RNA 6
Rfam family: Small Cajal body specific RNA 6
About the family: U88 is small Cajal body specific RNA (scaRNA). scaRNAs are a novel class of small nuclear RNAs which localise to the Cajal bodies. U88 is found associated with both fibrillarin and Gar1p and co-localises with coilin in Cajal bodies.
Source: Rfam by way of RNAcentral
GGUCAAUGAUGAACAGUAAAAGGUCUGAGAGCACAGGGGAAUCACGCUCCAUUACCUUUCAGGCUCCCAGCAGUCCCUGUUCUGUCAUGCUGUAGUAGAGCUAUGAUUGAGAAAGAGAUUGCUGACAGUGUAGGAUUAAUUCGGUUCCAGUUCUCCACAGUGAAGGGAGUUGUGGUACUGAAUGUCAUCCAACAGAACUGGUUUAAGAGGAGCUUGUGGUAGUGGGGUGUCAUAAUUUGUUGUGUGUGAUCUCAAGUUUUCAAGCUGAGACC